This 253-nucleotide ribosomal RNA is filed under the name uncultured bacterium. RNAcentral describes it as "partial 16S ribosomal RNA". It matches the Rfam family "Bacterial small subunit ribosomal RNA", at positions 524 to 776 of the family's 1533-position model. The record is from RNAcentral.
UACGGGGGGGGCAAGCGUUGUUCGGAAUUACUGGGCGUAAAGGGCUCGUAGGCGGCCAACUAAGUCGGAUGUGAAAUCCCCAGGCUUAACCUGGGAACUGCAUCCGAUACUGGAUGGCUUGAAUUCGGGAGAGGGAUGCAGAAUUCCAGGUGUAGCGGUGAAAUGCGUAGAUAUCUGGAGGAAUACCGGUGGCGAAGGCGGCAUCCUGGACCGACAUUGACGCUGAGGAGCGAAAGCUAGGGGAGCGAACGGG